Molecule: ribosomal RNA, 440 nt
Filed under: uncultured bacterium
Lineage: Bacteria
Description: partial 16S ribosomal RNA
Rfam family: Bacterial small subunit ribosomal RNA
Source: RNAcentral
CCUACGGGAGGCUGCAGUGGGGGAUAUUGCACAAUGGGGGAAACCCUGAUGCAGCGACGCCGCGUGUGGGAAGACGGUCCUCUGGAUUGUAAACCACUGUUCCCAGGGACGAAGAUGACGGUACCUGGGGCGGAAGCUCCGGCUAACUACGUGCCAGCAGCCGCGGUAAUACGUAGGGAGCGAGCGUUGUCCGGAAUUACUGGGUGUAAAGGGAGCGUAGGCGGGACUGCAAGUUGGGUGUCAAAUCUACCGGCUCAACCGGUAGCCGCACUCAAAACUGCAGUUCUUGAGUGAAGUAGAGGCAGGCGGAAUGCGUGGUGUAGCGGUGAAAUGCGUAGAUAUUAGGAAGAACACCGGUGGCGAAGGCAGCCUGCUGGGCUUUUACUGACGCUGAGGCUCGAAAGUGUGGGGAGCAAACAGGAUUAGAUACCCGUGUAGUC